This 434-nucleotide long non-coding RNA is filed under the name Androctonus crassicauda. Lineage: Eukaryota; Metazoa; Arthropoda; Arachnida; Scorpiones; Buthidae. The record is from RNAcentral.
UCCCACCCCUUGAAAAUAUUUAUCGUGGGGUCUGGGCCCGGCCCGUCGAUCCCCGUCCUCCACAAUCCGGCUCCUCGGCAGAGGUGGGCAACCUGUGGAAGGGUUUGUUUCGCCUCGUCACAUAAUAUUUUUCCAGAAUGGGCGGGGCGUAAAAAAAAAUCCAAAAGCUCGUGUACUGAACGAUGAUAUCCAAAUACGCAUGUUCAACUUCCCAAAGUUUUCACUGCGCAUGUCCCGUUGCACUAAAUAUCUAACAUAUUUGAUGUUCAGGUUAUCGUUUGCUCCGCUUCUUUUUCGUCGUCGCUGCAACGAGUAUGCAAUGACAAAUUGUAUGUACGAUUUUAGUACGACGUCGAAUGCGACCGGAUUGCUGCAAUAUCGACUAGUUUGCGGCCGGUCUUAGGCCCUCUGCACACGGAGCGUAUCGUCAUGGA